Molecule: ribosomal RNA, 747 nt
Filed under: uncultured Flavobacteriales bacterium
Lineage: Bacteria; Pseudomonadati; Bacteroidota; Flavobacteriia; Flavobacteriales
Description: bacterial SSU rRNA
Rfam family: Bacterial small subunit ribosomal RNA
Source: RNAcentral
GAUGAACGCUAGCGGCAGGCUUAACACAUGCAAGUCGAGGGGUAGAGUUCUUCGGAAUUUGAGACCGGCGCACGGGUGCGUAACGCGUAUGCAAUCUGCCUUCCACAGAGGGAUAGCCCAGAGAAAUUUGGAUUAAUACCUCAUAGCAUUACAGGAUGGCAUCAUCCGGUAAUUAAAGUCACAACGGUGGAAGAUGAGCAUGCGUCCCAUUAGCUAGUUGGUAAGGUAACGGCUUACCAAGGCGACGAUGGGUAGGGGUCCUGAGAGGGAGAUCCCCCACACUGGUACUGAGACACGGACCAGACUCCUACGGGAGGCAGCAGUGAGGAAUAUUGGUCAAUGGGCGCAAGCCUGAACCAGCCAUGCCGCGUGCAGGAUGACGGUCCUAUGGAUUGUAAACUGCUUCUGUACGGGAAGAAACACUGAUUCGUGAAUCAGCCUGACGGUACCGUAAGAAUAAGGAUCGGCUAACUCCGUGCCAGCAGCCGCGGUAAUACGGAGGAUCCAAGCGUUAUCCGGAAUCAUUGGGUUUAAAGGGUCUGUAGGCGGUCUUGUAAGUCAGUGGUGAAAGCCCAUCGCUCAACGGUGGAACGGCCAUUGAUACUGCAGGACUUGAAUUACCGGGAAGUAACUAGAAUAUGUAGUGUAGCGGUGAAAUGCUUAGAUAUUACAUGGAAUACCAAUUGCGAAGGCAGGUUACUACCGGUGGAUUGACGCUGAUGGACGAAAGCGUGGGGAGCGAACAGG